Molecule: long non-coding RNA, 686 nt
Organism: Mus musculus (house mouse)
Lineage: Eukaryota; Metazoa; Chordata; Mammalia; Rodentia; Muridae
Product: predicted gene, 33018
Exons: 5
Source: RefSeq, a predicted model, not a curated record
UGCCAGAAGAUACAAUUUGUAUCCAACAAAUACACAUUGGAUACUUCGUCCGAAGCAUCCCCUCCCAGGACGUUUAUCAUGGACAGUGGCGGCUCUGUGUGCACUUGGUUUGCCUUCAUUGAGCUAAGAAGUGGGUUUCCCAUAGAGAAAAACGGGGUUUUCUAGUUGAGCCGGAACCAGACCACGCCGUGAGCCAUUUCACUGGGCUGUUCCAGAGUACUGCACUGAGCCUCGGGACAGUUGAAAUCCCAAGGGUCUUAUCCCUGAAAGUUAUCAUCAUAAGGACCAAAGGGACCUUUCAGAUAGUCUAGUGACUGUCCAGUGAUCGUCAGCUCUACAGCAUGUGAGAUGUCUCCUCGGGUGCCUGAGCAACAACACUGUCGGAUGUGGGCAGACACUGGAGAGUGCACGAGGACGGUCAUGGGACAGCGAGACAGCUCUCUCAGGUGUCCGCACAGUCUCUGGCCUCGAAGUCUCCAGUCCUCAGAGUCUUCUGCCAGGUACUAAGAGACAGACUUCUUCCAUGUGUUUAAUGUUGACAGUUGUUCCCACUGCUCUCUGAGACUCGGGGCUCUGACUAUAACUGCAUGUCUACAGCCAGGGCCCAUUGCAUUCUGAAUCAGUGACACACAGAGCUGGUUCUUUGAAAAGAUAAACAAGAUCUGUGAAAGGCCAUGGAAGGCCAU